Molecule: ribosomal RNA, 490 nt
Filed under: uncultured bacterium
Lineage: Bacteria
Description: partial 16S ribosomal RNA
Rfam family: Bacterial small subunit ribosomal RNA
Source: RNAcentral
AUUGAACGCUGGCGGCAGGCCUAACACAUGCAAGUCGAACGGUAACAGGAAGAAGCUUGCUUCUUUGCUGACGAGUGGCGGCCGGGUGAGUAAUGUCUGGGAAACUGCCUGAUGGAGAGGGAUAACUACUGGAAACGGUAGCUAAUACCGCAUAACGUCGCAAGACCAAAGAGGGGGACCUUCGGGCCUCUUGCCAUCGGAUGUGCCCAGAUGGGAUUAGCUAGUAGGUGGGGUAACGGCUCACCUAGGCGACGAUCCCUAGCUGGUCUGAGAGGAUGACCAGCCACACUGGAACUGAGACACGGUCCAGACUCCUACGGGAGGCAGCAGUGGGGAAUACUGCACAAUGGGCGCAAGCCUGAUGCAGCCAUGCCGCGUGUAUGAAGAAGGCCUUCGGGUUGUAAAGUACUUUCAGCGGGGAGGAAGGGAGUAAAGUUAAUACCUUUGCUCAUUGACGUUACCCGCAGAAGAAGCACCGGCUAACUCCGUG